Molecule: ribosomal RNA, 306 nt
Filed under: Candidatus Omnitrophota bacterium
Lineage: Bacteria; Pseudomonadati; Candidatus Omnitrophota
Description: bacterial LSU rRNA
Rfam family: Bacterial large subunit ribosomal RNA
Source: RNAcentral
GUGAGACAGUUCGGUCUCUAUCUCAUGUGGGCGGAGGAGAUUUGAGGAGAGCUCCCUACAGUACGAGAGGACCUAGGGGGACGGACCUCCGGUGUCCCAGUUGUCCUGCCAAGGGCAUCGCUGGGUAGCCGUGUCCGGAGAGGAUAAGCGCUGAAUGCAUCUAAGUGCCAAGCCUCCUCCAAGAUAAGAUCUCCCGGGCGCAAGCCCCUGAAGGCCCCUGGCAGACUACCAGGUUGAUAGGCCGCAGGUAUAAGGCCCGCAAGGGCUUCAGCCAAGCGGUACUAAUCGGCCGUGCGGCUUGACCAC